GUGGGGUUGUAGCUCAAUGGUAGAGUGCUUGCCUCACACAUAUUCGAUCCUGGGUUCGAUCCUCAGCACCACA
This 73-nucleotide transfer RNA is filed under the name Marmota monax (woodchuck). RNAcentral describes it as "tRNA.Val". It matches the Rfam family "tRNA". Rfam says of the family: Transfer RNA (tRNA) molecules are approximately 80 nucleotides in length. Their secondary structure includes four short double-helical elements and three loops (D, anti-codon, and T loops). Further hydrogen bonds mediate the characteristic L-shaped molecular structure. tRNAs have two regions of fundamental functional importance: the anti-codon, which is responsible for specific mRNA codon recognition, and the 3' end, to which the tRNAs corresponding amino acid is attached (by aminoacyl-tRNA synthetases). tRNAs cope with the degeneracy of the genetic code in two manners: having more than one tRNA (with a specific anti-codon) for a particular amino acid; and 'wobble' base-pairing, i.e. permitting non-standard base-pairing at the 3rd anti-codon position. The record is from RNAcentral. Lineage: Eukaryota; Metazoa; Chordata; Mammalia; Rodentia; Sciuridae.